AGACCCGAAACCCGGUGAUCUAGCCAUGGGCAGGUUGAAGGUUGGGUAACACUAACUGGAGGACCGAACCGACUAAUGUUGAAAAAUUAGCGGAUGACCUGUGGCUGGGGGUGAAAGGCCAAUCAAACCGGGAGAUAGCUGGUUCUCCCCGAAAGCUAUUUAGGUAGCGCCUCGUGAAUUCAUCUCCGGGGGUAGAGCACUGUUUCGGCCAGGGGGCCAUCCCGGCUUACCAAUCCGAUGCAAACUGCGAAUACCGGAGAAUGUUAUCACGGGAGACACACGGCGGGUGCUAACGUCCGUCGUGAAGAGGGAAACAACCCAGACCGCCAGCUAAGGUCCCAAAGUCAUGGUUAAGUGGGAAACGAUGUGGGAAGGCCCAGACAGCCAGGAUGUUGGCUUAGAAGCAGCCAUCAUUUAAAGAAAGCGUAAUAGCUCACUGGUCGAGUCGGCCUGCGCGGAAGAUGUAACGGGGCUAAACCAUGCACCGAAGCUGCGGCAGCGAACGUAUCACCCAAGACAACUUUGCACAGUUGACGAUUGACGGAGCGAAGCGACGUCAAAGCGUUUUACAACGUCGAGUUGGCUUAGGGAUACGUUCGUUGGGUAGGGGAGCGUUCUGUAAGCCGUUGAAGGUGUGUCGUGAGGCAUGCUGGAGGUAUCAGAAGUGCGAAUGCUGACAUAAGUAACGAUAAAGCGGGUGAAAAGCCCGCUCGCCGGAAGACCAAGGGUUCCUGUCCAACGUUAAUCGGGGCAGGGUGAGUCGACCCCUAAGGCGAGGCCGAAAGGCGUAGUCGAUGGGAAACGGGUUAAUAUUCCCGUACUUGGUGUUACUGCGAAGGGGGGACGGAGAAGGCUAUGUUGGCCGGGCGACGGUUGUCCCGGUUUAAGCGUGUAGGCUGACUUUCCAGGCAAAUCCGGAGAGUCAAGGCUGAGGCGUGACGACGAGGCACCACGGUGCUGAAGCAACAAAUGCCCUGCUUCCAGGAAAAGCCUCUAAGCCUCAGGUAACAUCAAAUCGUACCCCAAACCGACACAGGUGGUCAGGUAGAGAAUACCAAGGCGCUUGAGAGAACUCGGGUGAAGGAACUAGGCAAAAUGGUGCCGUAACUUCGGGAGAAGGCACGCUGACACGUAGGUGAAGUGAUUUACUCAUGGAGCUGAAGUCAGUCGAAGAUACCAGCUGGCUGCAACUGUUUAUUAAAAACACAGCACUGUGCAAACACGAAAGUGGACGUAUACGGUGUGACGCCUGCCCGGUGCCGGAAGGUUAAUUGAUGGGGUCAGCGCAAGCGAAGCUCCUGAUCGAAGCCCCGGUAAACGGCGGCCGUAACUAUAACGGUCCUAAGGUAGCGAAAUUCCUUGUCGGGUAAGUUCCGACCUGCACGAAUGGCGUAAUGAUGGCCAGGCUGUCUCCACCCGGGACUCAGUGAAAUUGAACUCGCUGUGAAGAUGCAGUGUACCCGCGGCAAGACGGAAAGACCCCGUGAACCUUUACUAUAGCUUGACACUGAACACUGGUCCUUGAUGUGCAGGAUAGGUGGGAGGCUUUGAAGUGUGGACGCCAGUCUGCAUGGAGCCAUCCUUGAAAUACCACCCUUUAAUGGCUGGUGUUCUAACGUGGACCCGUAAUCCGGGUUGCGGACAGUGUCUGGUGGGUAGUUUGACUGGGGCGGUCUCCUCCUAAAGAGUAACGGAGGAGCACGAAGGUUGGCUAAUCCUGGUCGGACAUCAGGAGGUUAGUGCAAUGGCAUAAGCCAGCUUGACUGCGAGCGUGACGGCGCGAGCAGGUGCGAAAGCAGGUCAUAGUGAUCCGGUGGUUCUGAAUGGAAGGGCCAUCGCUCAACGGAUAAAAGGUACUCCGGGGAUAACAGGCUGAUACCGCCCAAGAGUUCAUAUCGACGGCGGUGUUUGGCACCUCGAUGUCGGCUCAUCACAUCCUGGGGCUGAAGUAGGUCCCAAGGGUAUGGCUGUUCGCCAUUUAAAGUGGUACGCGAGCUGGGUUUAGAACGUCGUGAGACAGUUCGGUCCCUAUCUGCCGUGGGCGCUGGAAGAUUGAGGGGGGCUGCUCCUAGUACGAGAGGACCGGAGUGGACGCAUCACUGGUGUUCGGGUUGUCAUGCCAAUGGCACUGCCCGGUAGCUACAUGCGGAAGAGAUAAGUGCUGAAAGCAUCUAAGCACGAAACUUGCCCCGAGAUGAAUCUUCCCUGAGCCUUUAAGGCUCCUGAAGGAACGUUGAAGACGACGACGUUGAUAGGCCGGGUGUGUAAGCGCAGCGAUGCGUUGAGCUAACCGGUACUAAUGAACCGUGAGGCUUAACCUU
RNAcentral lists this ribosomal RNA (2321 nucleotides) under Salmonella enterica. RNAcentral describes it as "partial 23S ribosomal RNA". It matches the Rfam family "Bacterial large subunit ribosomal RNA", at positions 711 to 2925 of the family's 2925-position model. Lineage: Bacteria; Pseudomonadati; Pseudomonadota; Gammaproteobacteria; Enterobacterales; Enterobacteriaceae. The record is from RNAcentral.